This is a long non-coding RNA of Lycium barbarum (goji berry), 436 nucleotides long. RefSeq lists it as uncharacterized. The transcript is spliced from 3 exons. The record is from RefSeq and is a predicted model, not a curated record. NCBI's taxonomy places the organism in Eukaryota, Viridiplantae, Streptophyta, Magnoliopsida, Solanales, Solanaceae.
AAAAAAAGGAAGAAACGAAAGGAGAAACCAUGAGGGAGGCGGCAACAGAGAGCAUUUUUAUGGAAGAGGUACCUGACUUUGAUCGUUCAAAGGCUCUACGCAAAGGGAAGGCAUUGUUUGAUAUUUCGUGGCACCCGCUCGGCAUUGAGAGUACGAUCCAGGCUCCAGUUCUACGCCCUGUGGCUGAUACGCAAGGGUGACAUCCUUCGGUCAUUCAGGGUGAACUACUUGGUCAUUCGUGGCCUCUGAAGGACCCUCUUUAUCUAAUUCUAUUUUUGUAUUCGAUAGACAGUAUGUAGCCUUCGGGUAUUUUCAGACUAUGUUUAGCGCUCUUGUACCCUUUGACCAGAUUUUGGGGAUGUUGGGAUAUUUCUAGUUAUGAGAAGUAUUUAAGAUUUGAUAACUGAUUCUUAUUUAAAAUUUUCACUUAUUUAAA